This 200-nucleotide ribosomal RNA is filed under the name uncultured bacterium. RNAcentral describes it as "partial 16S ribosomal RNA". It matches the Rfam family "Bacterial small subunit ribosomal RNA", at positions 28 to 237 of the family's 1533-position model. The record is from RNAcentral.
GACGAACGCUGGCGGCGUGCUUAACACAUGCAAGUCUAGGGGGCCCAGCAAUGGGUCACCGGCGAACGGGUGCGUAACACGUGAGCGACCUACCUUGAGAUGGGGGAUAGCCGGCCCAACGGCCGGGUAAUACCGCAUACGCUCUUCGGGCUUCAUGGCUUGGAGAGGAAAGCUUUAGCGUCUCUAGAGGGGCUCGCGGC